UGGGGAAUUUUGGACAAUGGGCGCAAGCCUGAUCCAGCAAUGCCGCAUGCAGGAUGAAGGCCUUCGGGUUGUAAACUGCUUUUGUACGGAGCGAAAAGGUCUGCCCUAAUACGAGAGGCCCAUGACGGUACCGUAAGAAUAAGCACCGGCUAACUACGUGCCAGCAGCCGCGGUAAUACGUAGGGUGCGAGCGUUAAUCGGAAUUACUGGGCGUAAAGCGUGCGCAGGCGGUUAUGUAAGACAGAUGUGAAAUCCCCGGGCUCAACCUGGGAACUGCAUUUGUGACUGCAUGGCUAGAGUACGGUAGAGGGGGAUGGAAUUCGGCGUGUAGCAGUGAAAUGCGUAGAUAUGCGGAGGAACACCGAUGGCGAAGGCAGCCUCCUGGGCCAGUACUGACGCUCAUGCACGAAAGCGUGGGGAGCAAACA
Molecule: ribosomal RNA, 427 nt
Filed under: uncultured bacterium
Lineage: Bacteria
Description: bacterial SSU rRNA
Rfam family: Bacterial small subunit ribosomal RNA
Source: RNAcentral